This 1408-nucleotide long non-coding RNA is filed under the name Capsicum annuum. RNAcentral describes it as "long non-coding RNA (CANN_LNC017798)". Lineage: Eukaryota; Viridiplantae; Streptophyta; Magnoliopsida; Solanales; Solanaceae. The record is from RNAcentral.
UCUGAUUUUAUAUAAAGAACCUGACUGCAAUAUGCUAAUUUUAAGGACGUAGUCAAUUAAGUUCGUAAUAGUGUUCCCUCUUUAACAACUAAACCUUUUAGAUGAAAUUGUUCGCACAACUUAAUACGUAAUCAAAGCGUGUCCUUGGUUCUUUUUCUCAUUGCUGCCUGUCAAAAAAGUAUUUCUGACAUGCUUGGCCAUGAGAUCCUGGCAAACACUUAAAAAGGUACUUUAAAGACCUACGGCCACUGCAGGGUAUGGCGUAACAAUCACCGGAGUGGGGUAUAAAUUUUUGGGACCAGGGUUCAUAUACCAGAAGAGAGAAAAAUGCUAAGUGGUUUCUUCCCAUCUAUCUAAGCCUUGUUGGAUAGAGCUAUGCAGUAUCCGUGCUGAUGGGAAGUGACACGUAACCAGUGAAAUAGUCUAGGUGUGUGCACGCUAGUCUAGACACCACACCACCAUUAGAAAAAAGACACAAUUAGGUAGUAAAUUGUCAUUUCCCCUCUAUAACUGAUUGAGCAUUUAGGUUAGAGUGUUAAAAAAUGAGAAAAAUGUCUCAAAGAGAAAAGGGGGAAAAUAAAAGAGAACUUGUCAAAGAAUUUUCUAUCCUGGAUGGCCAAAAGAACUGGUCUUGAGAACUUUUUAAUUAGGUAGUGAAAAUUUAAGGUGUCAGGUAGGAUGCUUCCAACUAUGCAUCACCGAAUAUAUCUUCACUUUUUAUUUUAAGAUUUAAUAGUUGUGACUGGGAGAAGGAGAUCUGCUCAGGGUUCUUUCUUCUUUUAAUCAGGGAUGAAUACUUGUAUUCAAGAUGCUCAUAAUCUUGCUUGGAAAUUAGCUUCUGUAAUCAAGGGUUGUCAUUGAUUUGUAGAAGACUGCUUCCUAAAAUGUUGAUUUUAAGAUAAAAAUAGCAAUGUUAUUUCUGUGGAGGGAGAUAAAAGAUUUCCACACAGCACAAAAUACUGGAGCUAUAAUUAGCUUAAAUUAAGCUCAAGAGAGCAGUUGUUGGUCGGAGGAUGUCUGAACUGUAGUCAGUCUCUAAAUUAUGAUGUUAGGCCUCUGCAUUGCUCUGCAAUUAACACGAUUGAUAUUGUAUCUGAUUUUAUAUAAAGAACCUGACUGCAAUAUGCUAAUUUUAAGGACGUAGUCAAUUAAGUUCGUAAUAGUGUUCCCUCUUUAACAACUAAACCUUUUAGAUGAAAUUGUUCGCACAACUUAAUACGUAAUCAAAGCGUGUCCUUGGUUCUUUUUCUCAUUGCUGCCUGUCAAAAAAGUAUUUCUGACAUGCUUGGCCAUGAGAUCCUGGCAAACACUUAAAAAGGUACUUUAAAGACCUACGGCCACUGCAGGGUAUGACGUAACAAUCACCGGAGUGGGGUAUAAAUUUUUGGGACCAGGGUUCAUAUACCAG